This is a long non-coding RNA of Cyanistes caeruleus (blue tit), 230 nucleotides long. RefSeq lists it as uncharacterized. NCBI's taxonomy places the organism in Eukaryota, Metazoa, Chordata, Aves, Passeriformes, Paridae. The record is from RefSeq and is a predicted model, not a curated record.
ACGGCCGCGUCAGCGGCAGUCGUCAGCUCCGGGACCGCCCGGAGCGCCGCGCUCUCCGCACAGCUCGGAACUCAAGUGUGUCAUAAAUGAGAAAGUGUAAGAUGUCACCCUGAAACCUAAAGCCUUCUGAUAAUGUCUUCAUAGUUUUAGUUACUUUCCCAUGAAAGUUCUAUAAAAAUAAGUUGUUUAUCACAUUCCUUCUAAUAAACAUCUUUUGGUGGACGUUUCUG